CUUGAUCGAGCCCAGCCACAGCGGCUUCUCCGGGUCGCGGUCCUUGCCGUAGGUGGCCAGCAACGCCUGCGCCUC
This 75-nucleotide antisense RNA is filed under the name Amycolatopsis rifamycinica. Its description in RNAcentral is "Aspks sRNA". It matches the Rfam family "ASpks TB sRNA". Lineage: Bacteria; Bacillati; Actinomycetota; Actinomycetes; Pseudonocardiales; Pseudonocardiaceae. The record is from RNAcentral.